GGCAGCCUGAAUCUGCUGAGAGUGAAGCUGGUUUUUGUUUUCAACAGAUUUGGGUUUCUUAUUAUCGCUCAAGUUAAAACAACAAGAAUCCGUGAGCAGAAUUAGACUCAGUACAUUUUAACUAUCCCAACUAGUCCACAUUUAAAAGAGCAAUUAAUCAAACUUUAGUGGAUUUCUUGUUUAUAAAUGGUGAAGCAUUUCUAAACAUCAGAGCUGCUGCAUCAAGUCUUUUCUCUUUAAAUCUCAGGAGCCGCUAGUGCCUCUUAAAUCUGUAUAUAUGUUUGAUAGAUUGUUUUUAUUUUAUCACUGCAAAGAUGUGGUUCUGAGAAGGUAAA
Long non-coding RNA from Etheostoma cragini (Arkansas darter), 335 nucleotides. RefSeq lists it as uncharacterized. The record is from RefSeq and is a predicted model, not a curated record. The transcript has 2 exons. NCBI's taxonomy places the organism in Eukaryota, Metazoa, Chordata, Actinopteri, Perciformes, Percidae.